UAGGGAAUCUUCGGCAAUGGGGGGAACCCUGACCGAGCAACGCCGCGUGAGUGAAGAAGGUUUUCGGAUCGUAAAGCUCUGUUGUUAAGGAAGAGCGAGUGUGAGAGUGGAAAGUUCACACUGUGACGGUAUCUUACCAGAAAGGGACGGCUAACUACGUGCCAGCAGCCGCGGUAAUACGUAGGUCCCGAGCGUUGUCCGGAUUUAUUGGGCGUAAAGCGAGCGCAGGCGGUUAGAUAAGUCUGAAGUUAAAGGCUGUGGCUUAACCAUAGUACGCUUUGGAAACUGUUUAACUUGAGUGCAAGAGGGGAGAGUGGAAUUCCAUGUGUAGCGGUGAAAUGCGUAGAUAUAUGGAGGAACACCGGUGGCGAAAGCGGCUCUCUGGCUUGUAACUGACGCUGAGGCUCGAAAGCGUGGGGAGCAAACAGGAUUAGAUACCCUGGUAGUCCACGCCGUAAACGAUGAGUGCUAGGUGUUAGACCCUUUCCGGGGUUUAGUGCCGCAGCUAACGCAUUAAGCACUCCGCCUGGGGAGUACGACCGCAAGGUUG
This 550-nucleotide ribosomal RNA is filed under the name uncultured bacterium. Its description in RNAcentral is "bacterial SSU rRNA". It matches the Rfam family "Bacterial small subunit ribosomal RNA", at positions 355 to 896 of the family's 1533-position model. The record is from RNAcentral.